RNAcentral lists this ribosomal RNA (1681 nucleotides) under Candidatus Hartigia pinicola. RNAcentral's name for it is "bacterial LSU rRNA". It matches the Rfam family "Bacterial large subunit ribosomal RNA", at positions 292 to 1955 of the family's 2925-position model. The record is from RNAcentral. Lineage: Bacteria; Pseudomonadati; Pseudomonadota; Gammaproteobacteria; Enterobacterales; Enterobacteriaceae.
AAGGGAACAGCCCAGAGUGUAUUAAUUAGUAUAAGUAUUAGGAAAAUAGUUUGGAAAGGCUAGCAAUAAAGGGUGAUAGCCCCGUAUCUGAAAAUUCUUAUGCUAUGAACUCAAAGAGUAAGACGGGGCACGUGUUAUCUUGUCUGAAUAAGGGGGGACCAUCCUCCAAGGCUAAAUACUCUUGAUUGACCGAUAGUGAACUAGUACCGUGAGGGAAAGGCGAAAAGAACCCCGAUAAGGGGAGUGAAAUAGAUCCUAAAACCGUGUACGUACAAGCAGUGGGAGCCUUAAGCAAUUAAGGUGACUGCGUACCUUUUGUAUAAUGGGUCAGCGACUUAUAUUCUGUAGCAAGGUUAACCGUAUAGGGGAGCCGUAGGGAAACCGAGUCUUAACUGGGCGAAUUAAGUUGCAGGGUAUAGACCCGAAACCCGGUGAUCUGGCCAUGAGCAGGUUGAAAGUUAGGUAACACUAACUGAAGGACCGAACUGACUAAUGUUGAAAAAUUAGCGGAUGACUUGUGGUUAGGGGUGAAAGACUAAUCAAACCGGGAGAUAGCUGGUUCUCCCCGAAAGCUAUUUAGGUAGCGCCUCGUGAAUUCAUCUUCGGGGGUAGAGCACUGUUUCGACUAGGGGGUCAUCCCGACUUACCAACUCGAUGCAAACUACGAAUACCGAAGAAUGUUAUCACGGGAGACACACGGCGGGUGCUAACGUUCGUCGUGAAAGGGAAACAACCCAGACCGCCAGCUAAGGUCCCCAAGUCAUAAUUAAGUGGGAAACGAAGUGGGAAGGCUUAGACAACCAAGAUAUUGGCUUAAGAAGCAGCCCAUUAUUUAAAGAAAGCGUAAUAGCUCACUGGUCGAGUCGGCCUGCACGGAAGAUGUAACGGGGCUAAAUUAUGCACCGAAGCUGCGGCAGCAAUAUAAAAUGUUGCUGGGUAGGGGAGCGUUCUGUAAGCCUGUGAAGGUUUGCUGUGAAGCAAGCUGGAGGUAUCAGAAGUGCGAAUGCUGACAUAAGUAACGAUAAUGCGGGUGAAAAACCUGCACGCCGAAAGACCAAGGGUUCCUGUCCAACGUUAAUCGGGGCAGGGUAAGUCGACCCCUAAGGCGAGGCAGAAAUGCGUAGUUGAUGGACAACAAGUUAAUAUUCUUGUACUAGUAAUAAUUGCGAUGGGGGGACGAAGAAAGCUAGGCUAGCCAGGGGACGGUUGUCCUGGUUUAAGGAUGUAGGUGAGUGAAUUAGGCAAAUCCGGUUCACUGUGCACUAAGGUCUAAUGACGAGUCACUAUGGUGAUGAAGUGGCUAAUGCUAUGCUUCCAAGAAAAGCCUCUAAGCUCUAAAUUAUUAUUAAUCGUAUCCCAAACCGACACAGGUGGUCAGGUAAAGAAUACUCAGGCGCUUGAGAGAACUCGGGUGAAGGAACUAGGCAAAAUAGUGCCGUAACUUCGGGAGAAGGCACGCUGGUAAUAGGUAAACUCCCUUGCGGAUAUAGCCGAAACCAGUCGCAGAUACCAGCUGGCUGCAACUGUUUAUUAAAAACACAGCACUGUGCAAACACGUAAGUGGACGUAUACGGUGUGACGCCUGCCCGGUGCUGGAAGGUUAAUUGAUGGGGUUAUCUGUAAAGAAAAGCUCUUGAUCGAAGCCCCAGUAAACGGCGGCCGUAACUAUAACGGUCCUAAG